AGUUAACGCGCGUCAGGAGCGGAAGCGGAAGCGGCUAGUCUCCAUGGCGGUGGCGGCGACAGCGGCUGCAAGACCCGUGUUUUGGAGGCGACUGCUGGGCCUCCUGCCUGGCCGCCCCGGGCUGGCCGCGCUCCUGGGACGCCUGUCCGACCGCCUCGGCAGGAACCGGGACCGCCGGCGCAGGAGGUCACCAUGGCUGUUACUGGCUCCCUUGCUGUCCCCAGCUGUUCCCCAGGUCACUUCCCCACCGUGCUGCCUGUGUCCAGAAGGUGUGCACCGGUUCCAGUGGAUCAGAAACCUGGUUCCAGAAUUUGGAGUCUCCAGUUCUCAUGUUAGGGUGCUUUCUUCCCCGGCAGAGUUUUUUGAGCUCAUGAAGGGGCAGAUAAGAGCGGCCAAGAGGCGAGUCGUGAUGGCAUCCCUCUACCUGGGGACAGGUCCUUUGGAACAGGAGCUGGUGGACUGCCUGGAAAGUACUCUAGAAAAGUCACUCCAAGCAAAGUUUCCUUCAGAUCUCAAGGUCUCCAUUCUCUUAGACUUCACACGGGGCUCACGAGGCCGGAAGAACUCCCGCACGAUGCUGCUCCCACUCCUGCAGAGGUUCCCAGAGCAGGUCCGAGUCUCCCUCUUUCACACGCCGCACCUCCGCGGCCUGCUCCGGCUCCUCAUCCCUGAGCGCUUCAAUGAGACCAUCGGCCUCCAGCACAUUAAGGUGUACCUCUUUGACAACAGCGUCAUCUUGAGCGGUGCAAACCUGAGUGACUCCUACUUCACCAACCGCCAGGACCGCUACGUGUUCUUGCAGGACUGUGCGGAGAUUGCCGACUUCUUCACUGAGCUGGUGGAUGCAGUGGGGGAUGUGUCCCUGCAGCUGCAGGGGGACGACACGGUGCAGGUGCUGGAUGGGAUGGUGCAUCCUUACAAAGGUGACCGGGCGGAGUACUGUAAGGCAGCUAAUAAGAGGGUCAUGGAUGUGAUCAACUCAGCCAGGACCCGCCAGCAGAUGCUGCACGCCCAGACCUUCCAUGGCAACUCCCUUUUGACCCAGGAAGAUGCAGUGGCUGCUGGGGACCGCAGACCAGCCCCUGACACCUGGAUUUAUCCACUGAUUCAGAUGAAGCCCUUCGAGAUUCAAAUCGAUGAGAUUGUCACUGAGACCCUGUUGACUGAGGCCGAGUGCGGUGCAAAGGUCUACCUCACCACUGGCUACUUCAACCUGACCCAGGCCUACAUGGACCUGGUCUUGGGCACUCGGGCUGAGUACCAGAUCCUGCUGGCCUCACCAGAGGUGAAUGGCUUCUUCGGGGCCAAGGGGGUGGCCGGCGCCAUCCCAGCCGCCUAUGUACACAUCGAGCGGCAGUUCUACAGCGAAGUGUGCAGCCUGGGACAGCAGGAGCGGGUCCAGCUGCAGGAGUACUGGCGGAGGGGCUGGACAUUCCAUGCCAAAGGCCUCUGGCUGUACCUGGCAGGGAGCAGCCUGCCCUGUCUCACGCUGAUUGGCUCUCCUAAUUUUGGGUACAGGUCAGUUCACCGGGACCUGGAGGCCCAGAUUGCGAUCGUGACAGAGAACCAGGCACUGCAGCAGCAGCUUCACCAGGAGCAAGAGCAGCUCUACCUGAGGUCGGGUAUGGUGUCAUCUGCCACCUUUGAGCAGCCGAGUCGGCAGGUGAAGUUGUGGGUGAAGAUGGUAACUCCACUGAUCAAGAACUUCUUCUGAGGACAGACAGAGAUGCGUCCUUCUAGUCUCUGGGGGUUGAGUAACAGGACCCGUUCUGCCCACCCAGGAGGGGCCUGCCGCUUCACCAGGGGCACCAGUGGGGUCCCACAGUCACCUGAGGAACCCUGGACUGUCUUGACGCCUGGAGGUCCAGGCAGGAGUUGGCUGCCAUUAAAGCCUGUUGGGUCCUAAGAUGGUUGUGAACCAUUACCCUCAGAAUUUGGACUUUGUAGAUGCUUUUUAACUCGUGAUUUAGGAAUGGCCUUGAUGAAGAUGACAGGCAUGACCGGCGUCAGCUCCUUCAGCCGCGCUUCAGCGAUGACUCCGGUCUGGGUGUCCCAGCGAGCCCCUGCGGGGACGGCAUGGCUGAGGGUUGGGAGGUGACUGG
Molecule: RNA transcript, 2102 nt
Organism: Callithrix jacchus (white-tufted-ear marmoset)
Lineage: Eukaryota; Metazoa; Chordata; Mammalia; Primates; Cebidae
Gene: PGS1
Gene name: phosphatidylglycerophosphate synthase 1
Source: RefSeq, a predicted model, not a curated record